GAUCCAAUAAAGCCUAGAAGGGCAUACAUAUUAAUCUGGAUUCUAGUCUGAUAAAGCCCUUAAGGACGUACAAGCUAAUCCAGAUUUCAAUCCGGUAAUGUUAAUCCAAAUUCCAGUCUGGUAAACCUCCAAAGGCAUACAUAUUAAUUGGGAUUUUAAUCCGGUAAAGCCCUGAAAGGCAUGCAUGUUAAUCCAAAUUUCAAUCUAGUA
RNAcentral lists this long non-coding RNA (210 nucleotides) under Elaeis guineensis (African oil palm). Its description in RNAcentral is "long non-coding RNA (EGUI_LNC038154)". Lineage: Eukaryota; Viridiplantae; Streptophyta; Magnoliopsida; Arecales; Arecaceae. The record is from RNAcentral.